RNAcentral lists this long non-coding RNA (201 nucleotides) under Mytilus galloprovincialis (Mediterranean mussel). The record is from RNAcentral. Lineage: Eukaryota; Metazoa; Mollusca; Bivalvia; Mytilida; Mytilidae.
UUUGGGGAUUUCUUUAGGCGUUUGUAAUUUAGCGGUAUGUUCAGAAAUAGCCAUACUAUUGUGUGAACAUUACACAGCUUGGGUUGCAAUACUAUAACUUAAGGCUCUACGUCUAUCGCAUAAAAUAUAUAGAUUGAAGGAAAAAUACGACCAUGUCAAAUUUGUAAAAUAGUAAUUUAACUUUUUUAAACUAGACAUAUA